CGGAGUAUAGCCAGGUUGUAAGGCAUCGGCCUUUGAUGCCGAUAAACAAAGCUUCCAAUACUUUUACUCCAG
RNAcentral lists this transfer RNA (72 nucleotides) under Marchantia polymorpha subsp. ruderalis. It matches the Rfam family "tRNA". Rfam says of the family: Transfer RNA (tRNA) molecules are approximately 80 nucleotides in length. Their secondary structure includes four short double-helical elements and three loops (D, anti-codon, and T loops). Further hydrogen bonds mediate the characteristic L-shaped molecular structure. tRNAs have two regions of fundamental functional importance: the anti-codon, which is responsible for specific mRNA codon recognition, and the 3' end, to which the tRNAs corresponding amino acid is attached (by aminoacyl-tRNA synthetases). tRNAs cope with the degeneracy of the genetic code in two manners: having more than one tRNA (with a specific anti-codon) for a particular amino acid; and 'wobble' base-pairing, i.e. permitting non-standard base-pairing at the 3rd anti-codon position. Lineage: Eukaryota; Viridiplantae; Streptophyta; Marchantiopsida; Marchantiales; Marchantiaceae. The record is from Rfam by way of RNAcentral.